GACGAACGCUGGCGGCGUGCCUAAUACAUGCAAGUCGAACGAACCGCGACUAGGUGCUUGCACUUGGUCAAGGUGAGUGGCGAACGGGUGAGUAACACGUGGGUAACCUACCUCAUAGUGGGGGAUAACAGUCGGAAACGACUGCUAAUACCGCAUAGGACAUGGGAUCACAUGAUUCUGUGAGGAAAGGUGGCGCAAGCUAUCGCUAAGAGAUGGACCCGCGGUGCAUUAGCUAGUUGGUAGGGUAACGGCCUACCAAGGCGAUGAUGCAUAGCCGACCUGAGAGGGUGAUCGGCCACAUUGGGACUGAGACACGGCCCAAACUCCUACGGGAGGCAGCAGUAGGGAAUCUUCCGCAAUGGACGCAAGUCUGACGGAGCAACGCCGCGUGAGUGAAGAAGGUCUUCGGAUCGUAAAGCUCUGUUGUUAGAGAAGAACAGCGCAUAGAGUAACUGUUAUGCGUGUGACGGUAUCUAACCAGAAAGCCACGGCUAACUACGUGC
This 503-nucleotide ribosomal RNA is filed under the name uncultured bacterium. RNAcentral describes it as "partial 16S ribosomal RNA". It matches the Rfam family "Bacterial small subunit ribosomal RNA", at positions 28 to 508 of the family's 1533-position model. The record is from RNAcentral.